UGGGGAAUCUUCCGCAAUGGGCGCAAGCCUGACGGAGCAACGCCGCGUGAGUGAAGAAGGUUUUCGGAUCGUAAAGCUCUGUUGAGAGGGACGAGAGGCAAGGCUAGGAAAUGAGCUUUGUAGGACGGUACCUUUCGAGGAAGCCACGGCUAACUACGUGCCAGCAGCCGCGGUAAUACGUAGGUGGCGAGCGUUGUCCGGAAUUAUUGGGCGUAAAAGGGAGCGCAGGUGGGAAAGUAAGUCAGUCUUAAAAGUGCGGGGCUCAACCCCGUGAGGGGAUUGAAACUACUUUUCUUGAGUGCAGGAGAGGAAAGCGGAAUUCCUAGUGUAGCGGUGAAAUGCGUAGAUAUUAGGAGGAACACCAGUGGCGAAGGCGGCUUUCUGGACUGUAACUGACACUGAGGCUCGAAAGCCAGGGGAGCGAACGGGAUUAGAUACCCUGGUAGU
This 447-nucleotide ribosomal RNA is filed under the name uncultured Veillonellaceae bacterium. RNAcentral's name for it is "bacterial SSU rRNA". It matches the Rfam family "Bacterial small subunit ribosomal RNA", at positions 355 to 794 of the family's 1533-position model. The record is from RNAcentral. Lineage: Bacteria; Bacillati; Bacillota; Negativicutes; Veillonellales; Veillonellaceae.